GGUAAAUUGUAUUCUGUGUGAGAAGCUUUAAACGUGAGCGUAAUGGAAAGGGGAUAUUCCAUAAAACAAAGGCACACCUCCAGAAACAACAAAGACAAACACUCAGCUGCAGAGGAUUUGCUGACUCAGAGCUCUGCAAAACCUACCUGAUCAAGCACCAUCCUUAUCCAGCUCAGAAAAAAAGGAGUGAUCAGUUCCACUCAAGACUCAUACAAGGUACAGAAGAGAUCUGUUGUUUCAAGAAGUGUUAGGAAUGGACAGGCAAAGACUCGUCAACCCACAGCCCGUGCAGAGCAAUCCUGAGCAGCCUGGAUCUACAAGGGAACUUCCUCCGCAGUAAUUUCGAGUUUAACCAUGGCAUUAUAUCAUGAUCUACUAUUCCACUGCCUUCAUAAAUUCAGGAGGUCCCUGGGAGAUCUCUUCCUUGCCUUGCGACCAUGCCUGUGGGACAUGCUGCUGUUCCUCCCUUGACACUAAUUCCACUGACAUCAGGGGACAUCCACACAGAAUAGCACCAGGAUACAAGCUCCACAUCAAGAGAAAUAAAGACUGUAUGAAUGAUCUCUUUUCUUACCCCUGCCUUCCUGUUUAAGCCAUGGAGAGCUUUCCUUCAUCAUUGCCUUUACUUCUGAAUGUCAGAACAGGCUGUGGGACUGUCUGCCACCCCCUAGAGCAGGAGGCUACAAGAAAGGUUCCCCAGUGAACAUCCCAGGCUUCGAUCCAACUGCUGAAUUAGGACAGAAGAGGAAAGACUUGUCUCUACCUGCUGCUGUGAGGAUUCACUUGUUCACAUUUUUCUUCCCUUCCGGAAAGAAAGACUGCAGAAAAAUUCCUCCUCCCUUCUUUUUGUUCUCCCUAGUUUUUUAUUCAGAAACUAGGUUGAAAAUUUGGGUCUGGCUGGUGCAAGAUCAGACUUUCCAGUCCUUUGUUGCUCCACUAGCACCAAUUACCCAGGAGCAACAAAAAUCUCAGUCAUCAUCUGCUGCCAGAAAGAGGUGAUUGCUGAA
Molecule: long non-coding RNA, 1007 nt
Organism: Melospiza melodia melodia
Lineage: Eukaryota; Metazoa; Chordata; Aves; Passeriformes; Passerellidae
Exons: 4
Source: RefSeq, a predicted model, not a curated record